AUUGAACGCUGGCGGCAUGCCUUACACAUGCAAGUCGAACGGCAGCGCGGACUUCGGUCUGGCGGCGAGUGGCGAACGGGUGAGUAAUACAUCGGAACGUACCCUGUUGUGGGGGAUAACUAGUCGAAAGAUUAGCUAAUACCGCAUACGACCUGAGGGUGAAAGUGGGGGACCGCAAGGCCUCACGCAGCAGGAGCGGCCGAUGUCUGAUUAGCUAGUUGGUGGGGUAAAGGCCCACCAAGGCGACGAUCAGUAGCUAGUCUGAGAGGACGAUCAGCCACACUGGGACUGAGACACGGCCCAGACUCCUACGGGAGGCAGCAGUGGGGAAUGUUGGACAAUGGGGGCAACCCUGAUCCAGCAAUGCCGCGUGUGUGAAGAAGGCCUUCGGGUUGUAAAGCACUUUUGUCCGGAAAGAAAUCGCGCUGGUUAAUACCUGGCGUGGAUGACGGUACCGGAAGAAUAAGCACCGGCUAACUACGUG
This 484-nucleotide ribosomal RNA is filed under the name uncultured bacterium. RNAcentral describes it as "partial 16S ribosomal RNA". It matches the Rfam family "Bacterial small subunit ribosomal RNA", at positions 30 to 507 of the family's 1533-position model. The record is from RNAcentral.